AUUUAUUUUCUAUCUUUCAUAACCUCUCUUAAUAUCUUGUAAUCAUGAUCCUGAAAACUCAAUAAAUCCCUCUUUAAACCCACAAACCGACUCCUAGAGUCCUGAUUCUCUGAUUCACCCAUAUAGUGGCAACCCCAAUCAUCAUUUUAGAGAAUGUUAAAUACAUUCAUAAAGCAGAGAAUAAUAACCACACCAUUCUGAAACCUAUAGUUUAAUUAUUGGUAUCAAUAAACCCACGAUAUUUUAUUGUCGCAAUAUCUCAUCUAAAAAUGUGGAGAAAUCAAAGCUUAACCCAUCCUUUGUCAAUCAGAUUAAAUAUUAGAACUUAAUUCUACACUCAUCAAAAAAAGAAAAUGAAAAGGGAGAGAAUUUGAAACACAAUGUUACAGUUUGGAUUUUCUUGAUAUGCGUUUGAUAUGUAACUCAAACUAACAUCGGAAACAGCCCCGAGCUAGGAUCUUCCAAUAGAAAAGACCCCAAGCCCAGUUCCAAGAAAAUGACCAGACUAGUUACAAGAGCUAGUAAUGAUGUAUAUACACAAUUGCGCCUAAACUCAUUCACCUGCACACAAUGUCCCCGCACACCAACAGGGGCACCUACAUGUGUGCCUGAAAAUGUAAACAUAUAUGCAUCAAAGCUGCUAAAAGUUAAUCAUUCAUGUGAUACCAGAUAUACUACAUCAAAUUCAACUAAAACCUACCUCUUAUACUAAUAUGCAGUUUAGACAUUUAAACAAACAGUUUGUAGGUACAGAAGAUAAGCAAACACCAUAGAUCAAAACAACGCAGGCAACCAAAAAGAGAAGCCCCUAAUCAAAUCUACCAUUAAAAAAAAGUAGUAAGAUCCACUCAAAUUGGCCAAGACCAUGAACCAAUGCUCCAUACAAGGUACUGACCGCAAAGAUACAAACACGAUGAAAACCCAUAAGAACCUAAAAGAAAACAGGAAAUUUACCGACCGGGAUGUUGUGGAAGGAACUUGCAAAAUUAGAGCGAGGAACUGAAAGCUGGGAGAAAAGAAGGCAGAAAGAUGGAGAGAGAAGGAGGUGCUAGUGAAAAAGCCAUCAUGAAUAGUGAUUUGGAUUGAUUAUUGGCUCAAAGACAUAAAGAUCUAGCAAAAAAAUGCCAUGUUCCAUCUCAUGAAGCAAAAAUACAAACACAGAUUAUGAUUCAAAUUCCAACAAUUUUUCGCCACUCAGUUCUCAAUUACCAUAAUUCAAAAACAACGAUAAAGAACCCAAAACGAUAUAAAGGGUAAACAAGUUCGUAUAACAGCAAAAAAGAUUAUCGUUUUCGCUUCUGCUCAUCAGCACCCAAAUGAAGAGUAACAAGAGAACCGCUAAUAAACCCUAGGAAAUCAGAGCUAGUUUAAAAGAGAAGCAAAAGGAGAUUAGAGAAAGGAACCUGUGAGAAGGAAAUUGAACUUCUGUCGAUAGGGUUUGGAGUGAAUGAGGAAAAGAAAAACAGAGAAGGGUUUUAUAUAGUUCCUAUUGACUUGAAUGAUUGUGAAUGUUAGUCGAGAAAAGGAGAAGGUGAAGGAAACAAAAAUUGUGUGUCAAUAAAACUUCACAAAAUAGGAACGAUAUAUAUAUAUAUAUCAUUUUUUUAUUUCCUGACCAAAAUCAUCAAGUAAUUGAAUGUAUCUGCAUAUUUUAAUUUUGGUUCUGAAAUUUCAUUUGUAAUUUAUAUUAAUCAACUGAAAACGGAACGAUAUUAAUUUUAUACGCCAUCUUAGCUCAUGCAAAUAACGUUCUCCUAUUCCACCAUUACAGCUCACACAACUAUAUCUUCCCAAUUAAUUAACAAUUUUUUUUUUUUU
RNAcentral lists this long non-coding RNA (1818 nucleotides) under Carica papaya (papaya). RNAcentral's name for it is "long non-coding RNA (CPAP_LNC011190)". The record is from RNAcentral. Lineage: Eukaryota; Viridiplantae; Streptophyta; Magnoliopsida; Brassicales; Caricaceae.